Molecule: long non-coding RNA, 208 nt
Filed under: Mytilus galloprovincialis (Mediterranean mussel)
Lineage: Eukaryota; Metazoa; Mollusca; Bivalvia; Mytilida; Mytilidae
Source: RNAcentral
UUUUUUUAAUUGUUCAUGAACAUUAACAAUGUGUUAACUGUUGAUAUUUAUAGCCUUUUUCUUCUUCGCUGUGAAUACCACUGUCACUCUAAUAUAAUUAUAAUCAAUUUAACUAUUGUCAGUUUAUUGUCUUAAUUUUGUAUGCCAUAACCAUUUAAUGUAAAUGUGUUUGUGCGAAUAAAAUAUUGUCUAUUGUCUAUUGUCUAUU